UACAGAGGUCUCAAGCGUUGUUCGGAAUCAUUGGGCGUAAAGGGCGUGUAGGCGGUUUGUUAAGUCAUGUGUGAAAUCCCUCGGCUCAACCGGGGAACGACGCAUGAAACUGGCAAGCUAGAGUACCAAAGAGGGGGGUGGAAUUCCCGGUGUAGCAGUGAAAUGCGUAGAUAUGCGGAGGAACACCGAUGGCGAAGGCAAUCCCCUGGACCUGUACUGACGCUCAUGCACGAAAGCGUGGGGAGCAAACAGG
RNAcentral lists this ribosomal RNA (253 nucleotides) under uncultured bacterium. RNAcentral describes it as "partial 16S ribosomal RNA". It matches the Rfam family "Bacterial small subunit ribosomal RNA", at positions 524 to 776 of the family's 1533-position model. The record is from RNAcentral.